This 331-nucleotide long non-coding RNA is filed under the name Mytilus galloprovincialis (Mediterranean mussel). Lineage: Eukaryota; Metazoa; Mollusca; Bivalvia; Mytilida; Mytilidae. The record is from RNAcentral.
UAGGGAGAAGGUUUGGUACCAUUAAAACGUUUAAUCCCGCUGCAAAUGUUUGCACCUGUCCUAAGUCAGGAAUCUGAUGUACAGUAGUUGUCGUUUGUUUAUGUAAUUUAUACGUGUUUCUCGUUUUUUAUAUAGAUUAUACAGUUGGUUUUCCCGUUUGAAUGGUUUUACACUAGUAAUUUUGGGGCCCUUUAUAGCUUUUUGUUCGGUGUGAGCCAAGGCUCCGUGUUGAAGGCCGUACAUUGACCUAUAAUGGUUUACUUUUAUAAAUUGUUAUUUGGAUAGAGAGUUGUCUCAUUGGCACUCACACCACAUCUUCCUAUAUCUAUUG